This 216-nucleotide ribosomal RNA is filed under the name Glomeromycotina sp. RNAcentral describes it as "partial small subunit ribosomal RNA". The stretch from base 40 to 216 matches the Rfam family "Eukaryotic small subunit ribosomal RNA", at positions 686 to 864 of the family's 1831-position model. The record is from RNAcentral. Lineage: Eukaryota; Fungi; Glomeromycota.
GGGUCAGUAGGUUGGUCGUGCCACCGGUACGUACUGGUCUCACUGAUUCCUCCUUCCUGAAGAACCGUAAUGCCAUUAAUUUGGUGUUGCGGGGAAACAGGACUGUUACUUUGAAAAAAUUAGAGUGUUUAAAGCAAGCUAACGCUUGAAUACACGAGCAUGGAAUAAUGAAAUAGGACGAUCGAUCCUAUUUUGUUGGUUUCUAGGAUUGACGUA